This 1257-nucleotide long non-coding RNA is filed under the name Coturnix japonica (Japanese quail). RNAcentral's name for it is "lncRNA (ENSCJPG00005000790.1)". The record is from RNAcentral. Lineage: Eukaryota; Metazoa; Chordata; Aves; Galliformes; Phasianidae.
CGGGAUGCCGCCGCUCUCUCAGCGGGGAUAACUUCCAGUCCGCUGCAAGUUCGGCCGCACCGGAGGGCAGCGCACAGCCGCAGCCCCGCUCAGCUCCGCGCUCCCAUUUCACCCGCACCCAACUUUCACGGGGCCGCCCCCAGCGGAUGCCGCCGGACAAACCCAGCCGGGCGGCUCCCGGUCGCAGCGCCCGCCCCGCUCGGCCGAGACUCCGAUCCCGCCGCCCGGCCGGGUGCGGAGCCCCCUCCCCAUCGCCCCGCGCCCGCCGGAAAGUUGCGGCCCCGCGGCCGCCCUCACCUUGGUUGGAGGCGCCGUGUCCGCCGGCCGCGGGGCGCGCCGUCAGCAGGGGGAGGAAGAGGCCGAAUCUCCAGAGCAGACCCCUCGCGUCGCAACACCCCAUGGCUGGGGCCCGCCGAGCGCCCCGCGUCCUCCUUCAGGCCGGCGGGGAACGCCGCGGCGCGACUGCAUCCACCGGCGGCGUCCCGGGGCACGGCGGCGGCCAAGGAGGAGAGAGGGAAGGCGGCGAGGGGCGGCGGCGCUGACGAGCGGGAGAGCUUCGGCAACUUCGGGCUGAGCCCCGCUCCUGGGCGGCCCUUCAGCCCCGUAGAGGCGCCGCCGGCAGCUCCGGCAGCCUCCUCCGCCGUCCGCGCCGCAUCCCCGGCCGGAGGCAGCGCCGAGGGGCUUCAGUAUCCCAUAGCGGAGGACGGUCCUGCCCCGCCGCCGGGCUGUUCGGCUGCAGGCAGGUUGAGGAGCGGGGCUGGGCGCCUCCUCACGCUCCCCGUGGCAUCAACAAAACUUGCGGGGCGGCAUCCCCGGCCCCGCCGCCGCCUCUCGCCCCGCUCUGUCUCUGCCUCUCCCUCUCAGCCGCGGCGACUCCGCCGCUCGCUCCCGAUCUGCGCGUCGCGCUCCCGGCCGCGGCUUUUGGUGCCGCCGCUCCCCCGCCGAGCGGCACGGCCCCAGCCCGGCGGGUGCCGGUCCGCCGGGAGGGCGGCGCGGCCCCGCGCCGGGGGCGCUGGGGCACAGGCGGCCCGCCGGCCAAACGGGCGGCCGGGAGCGCGCGGGGAGCGGCGCGGGGGCGAGAGCCUUUGGGCGGCGGCGGCGGCCCCUCCUCAGCCGCCCUCAGAGGGGAGUGCGGGCGUGAGGUGCGCGGCGCGACUCGGCGAGGGGAGGGGAGGGAUGGAGGGAGGAGAGGCGCCCCCUCGGCUCGCAGCCCGCGGGUCAGAUGCGGCCGGCUGGGCGCUAGAGGGGGUUAGUUGA